UACGGAAGGCAGCAGUGGGGAAUAUUGCACAAUGGGCGCAAGCCUGAUGCAGCCAUGCCGCGUGUAUGAAAAAGGCCUUCGGGUUGUAAAGUACUUUCAGUCGUGAGGAAGGUGUUAAGGUUAAUAACCUUAGCAAUUGACGUUAGCGACAGAAGAAGCACCGGCUAACUCCGUGCCAGCAGCCGCGGUAAUACGGAGGGUGCGAGCGUUAAUCGGAAUUACUGGGCGUAAAGGGCACGCAGGCGGUUAAUUAAGUUGGAUGUGAAAUCCCCGGGCUUAACCUGGGAAUGGCAUUCAAGACUGGUUAGCUAGAGUCUUGUAGAGGGGGUAGAAUUCCAUGUGUAGCGGUGAAAUGCGUAGAGAUGUGGAGGAAUACCGGUGGCGAAGGCGGCCCCUGGACAAAGACUGACGCUCAUGUGCGAAAGCGUGGGGAGCAAACAGGGAUUAGAUACU
RNAcentral lists this ribosomal RNA (453 nucleotides) under uncultured bacterium. RNAcentral describes it as "bacterial SSU rRNA". It matches the Rfam family "Bacterial small subunit ribosomal RNA", at positions 340 to 786 of the family's 1533-position model. The record is from RNAcentral.